Long non-coding RNA from Acipenser ruthenus (sterlet), 400 nucleotides. RefSeq lists it as uncharacterized. Lineage: Eukaryota; Metazoa; Chordata; Actinopteri; Acipenseriformes; Acipenseridae. The transcript is spliced from 4 exons. The record is from RefSeq and is a predicted model, not a curated record.
UGAGAGUCAGCCGUGAGGAUUUGCGCAGUCCUGCUCGGUAUUUUUGGAGACAGCUGCUUUCUCUUACCAGGGUCAAGGGGCUCUCCCGAUCUGCUUGGAAGGAGGCAAGGAGAUUCAGAGCCAACUACAUCAACUGCACAGACAACUGGGAUCCCACCAUCUGAGUCAUUCCCUCUCAGGUGCUGUCUAUAACAAAGGGCACACGCCAAAGCCACCAGUACCGGGAGCAGAAAUCCAGAAAAUAAUAGGAACAGUGAGAACAGUAUUUCCAGACCAGACUACCUCUGAAAUUAGAGUCUACAUUAGACAGAAAUUCCAGAAUGCAUGCAAGCAACAAUGAGGAAAGGGCAGUGAUGCUGCUGGAAGUCUGUGCAGUGAAUAAGUGUUAAAUUAUGACAAA